UACGUAGGUGGCAAGCGUUGUCCGGAUUUACUGGGCGUAAAGAGCGCGCAGGCGGUCGUUCAAGUCGCGUGUGAAAGCCCCCGGCUCAACUGGGGAGGGUCACGCGAUACUGAUCGACUCGAAGGCAGGAGAGGGUAGUGGAAUUCCCGGUGUAGUGGUGAAAUGCGUAGAUAUCGUUUGGAACGCCAAUGGUGAAAACAGGCAACUGGGGACAUGCUGACGCUGAGACACGAAAGCCAGGGGAGCGAACGGG
RNAcentral lists this ribosomal RNA (253 nucleotides) under uncultured bacterium. RNAcentral's name for it is "partial 16S ribosomal RNA". It matches the Rfam family "Bacterial small subunit ribosomal RNA", at positions 524 to 776 of the family's 1533-position model. The record is from RNAcentral.